RNAcentral lists this transfer RNA (76 nucleotides) under bacterium. RNAcentral's name for it is "tRNA-Lys". It matches the Rfam family "tRNA". Rfam says of the family: Transfer RNA (tRNA) molecules are approximately 80 nucleotides in length. Their secondary structure includes four short double-helical elements and three loops (D, anti-codon, and T loops). The record is from RNAcentral. RNAcentral also lists the same sequence under 6 other names.
GGGCGCGUAGCUCAAUUGGCAGAGCAAGUGGCUCUUAACCACUAGGUUCGGGGUUCGAUUCCCCGCGCGCUCACCA